AUACGUAGGUGACAAGCGUUAUCCGGAUUUACUGGGCGUAAAGGGCGUGUAGGCGGUCUUGCAAGUCAGAAGUGAAAUUCCUGAGCUCAGCUCGGGCGCUGCUUCUGAAACUGCAGGACUUGAGUGCUGGAGGGGAUAGCGGAAUUCCUAGUGGAGCGGUAAAAUGCGCAGAUAUUAGGAAGAACACCGGUGGCGAAGGCGGCUAUCUGGACAGUAACUGACGCUGAGGCGCGAAAGCGUGGGGAGCAAACAGGAUUAGAUACCCUGGUAGUCCACGCCGCAAACGAUGAAUACUAGGUGUAGGGGGUAUCGACUCCCUCUGUGCCGCAGUUAACACAAUAAGUAUUCCGCCUGGGGAGUACGGCCGCAAGGUUGAAACUCAAAUGAAUUGACGGGG
RNAcentral lists this ribosomal RNA (397 nucleotides) under uncultured bacterium. Its description in RNAcentral is "partial 16S ribosomal RNA". It matches the Rfam family "Bacterial small subunit ribosomal RNA", at positions 523 to 918 of the family's 1533-position model. The record is from RNAcentral.